GACGAACGCUGGCGGCGUGCUUAACACAGGCAAGUCGAACGGAAAGGCCCUGCGUUUGUGGGGGGCGCGAGUGGCGAAAGGGGGAGUAACACGUGAGGAACCGGCCCUUGACUGGGGGAGAACGUCAGGAAACUGGGGCUAAUACCGGAUAGGAGCUCCUGCUGCAUGGUGGGGGUUGGACAGUUUCGGCGGUUGGGGAUGGACUCGCGGCUUAUCAGCUUGUUGGUGGGGUAGUGGCUUACCAAGGCUUUGACGGGUAGCCGGCCUGAGAGGGUGAACGGCCACAUUGGGACUGAGAUACGGCCCAGACUCCUACGGGAGGCAGCAGUGGGGAAUAUUGCACAAUGGGCGGAAGCCUGAUGCAGCAACGCCGCGUGCGGGAUGACGGCCUUCGGGUUGUCAACCGCUUUCGCCUGUGACGAAGCGUGAGUGACGGUAAUGGGUAAAGAAGCACCGGCUAACUACGUG
RNAcentral lists this ribosomal RNA (468 nucleotides) under uncultured bacterium. RNAcentral describes it as "partial 16S ribosomal RNA". It matches the Rfam family "Bacterial small subunit ribosomal RNA", at positions 28 to 507 of the family's 1533-position model. The record is from RNAcentral.